Molecule: long non-coding RNA, 555 nt
Organism: Cydia fagiglandana
Lineage: Eukaryota; Metazoa; Arthropoda; Insecta; Lepidoptera; Tortricidae
Exons: 2
Source: RefSeq, a predicted model, not a curated record
CAACAUGAUUAUUCGUUUCUAGUGACAUUGAUAACAAUGGUGAAUGGCAAGAACCUACUUCUCCUCGACGGGUAUGCUUACUACAAGAGGUAUACCAGGAAACUCUUCGACAAGUGGUGCUGUACAACUUUCCCGACAUGCAAAAGCUACUUGAGCGUCGACAAAGAUUUAAACCUAAACGAGAAUGAUAUGAAUCUGGAACAUAAUCAUAAUAGGAAGAACUUUGUUCAGCUAAAUACUGGAAGAUAUAUGCGUGUGUGAUUUAUACCUGUAGGCAUUUCAAAAAUUAGCACACACUAUCACUCUGGCGAAUGGCAAAACCCAUAUCUUCCACCAGAACUAUACCUUCUUCAAGCACUAUCCAAAGAAGAAUAACAUUACUCGAUGGACCUGCACAGCUUGGCCUAAAUGCAAAUCGUAUCUUCUUGUUACACCAAAUUUUGAAAUAAUCAAAACUGAGCUAUCACAUAAUCACCCAAUGAAAAGACUGGUGGAUAAUGAAAUUGGUUAUGUAAAGUGGUAAUACAAUUAAAAUUAAAGUUUUUUUUGCGAAAA